UACGUAGGUCCCGAGCGUUGUCCGGAUUUAUUGGGCGUAAAGCGAGCGCAGGCGGUUUGAUAAGUCUGAAGUUAAAGGCUGUGGCUCAACCAUAGUUCGCUUUGGAAACUGUCAAACUUGAGUGCAGAAGGGGAGAGUGGAAUUCCAUGUGUAGCGGUGAAAUGCGUAGAUAUAUGGAGGAACACCGGUGGCGAAAGCGGCUCUCUGGUCUGUAACUGACGCUGAGGCUCGAAAGCGUGGGGAGCGAACAGGAUUAGAUA
RNAcentral lists this ribosomal RNA (260 nucleotides) under uncultured Streptococcaceae bacterium. RNAcentral's name for it is "partial 16S ribosomal RNA". It matches the Rfam family "Bacterial small subunit ribosomal RNA", at positions 524 to 784 of the family's 1533-position model. Lineage: Bacteria; Bacillati; Bacillota; Bacilli; Lactobacillales; Streptococcaceae. The record is from RNAcentral.